GCAUCAUUCGUCUAAUGGUUAAGACACCUGAUCCCCAAUCUGGAAAUGAGAGUUCGAUUCUCUUAUGAUGCUCCA
Molecule: transfer RNA, 75 nt
Filed under: Bacteroidaceae bacterium
Lineage: Bacteria; Pseudomonadati; Bacteroidota; Bacteroidia; Bacteroidales; Bacteroidaceae
Description: tRNA-Gly
Rfam family: tRNA
About the family: Transfer RNA (tRNA) molecules are approximately 80 nucleotides in length.
Source: RNAcentral